Molecule: unclassified non-coding RNA, 427 nt
Filed under: air metagenome
Description: partial contains small subunit ribosomal RNA, internal transcribed spacer 1, and 5.8S ribosomal RNA
Rfam family: Eukaryotic small subunit ribosomal RNA (bases 1-46)
Source: RNAcentral
AAGUCGUAACAAGGUUUCCGUAGGUGAACCUGCGGAAGGAUCAUUAUCGAAAUAUUUUUGAGAGGGGUUGUUGCUGGCCCAAAACUCACAGUUGAGCCCCAGUCUCAUGGCUGGGGAGAGAGGUGUAGAGGCGGAUUGGGUUUGGGAAGGCUUAGUUGAAAUUGACGAAGGCCUCAUGUACUUACAUGUACUACCUCCUGAUCCUACCACCUGUGGCAUGUGCACACCCUGAUCAUUUAUACUCUCAUACCCCUGUGCACUUUGCUGUAGGCGAAGACUUUUGGUAAAUGGAGAUGCUGGCUUAGGUUGGUGUCUUUGUGAACCAGGGCUCUUCUGCCUAUGUUUAUUAUAAACGCUUCAGUCAAAGAAUGUAACAUCGCGUGUAACGCAUUAUAUACAACUUUCAGCAACGGAUCUCUUGGCUCUC